AUAUUUAUCUCUAAUCUGCCCACUGAUUAUAAAUUAAAGGGCUGCAGUAUAUUGACUGUACAAAGGUAGCAUAAUAAUUAGUCUUUUAAUUGAAGACUUGUAUGAAAGAUUGGAUGAAAUAUAAACUGUCUCUAAAUUAAAAAUUGAAAUUAAUUUUUUAAUUAAAAAGUUAAAAUAAUUUAAAAAGACGAGAAGACCCUAUAGAGUUUUAUAAUAAAAAUUUUUUAAUAUUUAGUAUAUAAAAAUAAAUUUAAAUGGUUAUUAUUAUUUUAUUGGGGUGAUAGAAAAAUUAAAAUAACUUUUUUUAAUAAAAAAAAAACAUUAAUAAGUGAAAUUAUGAUCCAUAUUUUAUGAUUAUAAGAAAAAAUUACCUUAGGGAUAACAGCGUAAUUUUUUUUUUUAGUACAAAUAAAAAAAAGAGAUUGCGACCUCGAUGUUGGAUUAAGAUAAAAUUUAAAUGCAAAAGUUUAAAAUUUGAGUGAGUUCGAUCCUAAAAUC
This 498-nucleotide ribosomal RNA is filed under the name Heliconius clysonymus. RNAcentral describes it as "partial 16S ribosomal RNA". The record is from RNAcentral. Lineage: Eukaryota; Metazoa; Arthropoda; Insecta; Lepidoptera; Nymphalidae.